AAACCAGCCAAUUAACCUACUUACAUGAAUGUGUUUCUGUAGAAAUUUUUUAAAAGCUGGCAAUAGUGAUGCCAUUUUCUGAGCUUUAAGGACAACUGAGAUCAUUACAGUCCCUCAAAAUGGCUACAAUC
This is a small nucleolar RNA of Jaculus jaculus (lesser Egyptian jerboa), 131 nucleotides long. Lineage: Eukaryota; Metazoa; Chordata; Mammalia; Rodentia; Dipodidae. The record is from Ensembl.